GUAGGGAAUAUUAGAAAUGGACGAAAGUCUGAUCUAGCAACACCGCGUGUGCGAAGAAGGCCUUCGGGUCGUAAAGCACUUUUUGGAAGGAAUAGGAAGGAAUGUACUUCCAGAAUAAGUCUCGGCUAACUACGUGCCAGCAGCCGCGGUAACACGUAGGAGGCAAACGUUAUCCGGAUUUACUGGGCGUAAAGCGCGUGUAGGUGGUACUGUAAGUAGGGCGUGAAAGCUCCUGGCUCAACUGGGAGAGGCCGUUCUAAACUACAGAACUAGAGGAUUGUAGAGGGGGGUGGAAUUCCAGGUGUAGCGGUGGAAUGCGCAGAUAUCUGGAGGAACACCGGUGGCGAAGGCGGCCUCCUGGACCAUUCCUGACACUCAGACGCGAAAGCUAGGGUAGCAAACGGGAUUAGAAACCCUUGUAGUCC
RNAcentral lists this ribosomal RNA (425 nucleotides) under uncultured bacterium. Its description in RNAcentral is "partial 16S ribosomal RNA". It matches the Rfam family "Bacterial small subunit ribosomal RNA", at positions 354 to 796 of the family's 1533-position model. The record is from RNAcentral.